RNAcentral lists this ribosomal RNA (467 nucleotides) under uncultured bacterium. Its description in RNAcentral is "partial 16S ribosomal RNA". It matches the Rfam family "Bacterial small subunit ribosomal RNA", at positions 28 to 506 of the family's 1533-position model. The record is from RNAcentral.
GACGAACGCUGGCGGCGUGCUUAACACAUGCAAGUCGAACGGAAAGGCCCUGCUUUUGUGGGGUGCUCGAGUGGCGAACGGGUGAGUAACACGUGAGUAACCUGCCCUUGACUUUGGGAUAACUUCAGGAAACUGGGGCUAAUACCGGAUAGGAGCUCCUGCUGCAUGGUGGGGGUUGGAAAGUUUCGGCGGUUGGGGAUGGACUCGCGGCUUAUCAGCUUGUUGGUGGGGUAGUGGCUUACCAAGGCUUUGACGGGUAGCCGGCCUGAGAGGGUGACCGGCCACAUUGGGCCUGAGAUCCGGCCCAGACCCCUACGGGAGGAAGCAGUGGGGAAUUUUGCACAAUGGGCGGAAGCCUGAUGCAGCAACGCCGCGUGCGGGAUGACGGCCUUCGGGUUGUAAACCGCUUUCGCCUGUGACGAAGCGUGAGUGACGGUAAUGGGUAAAGAAGCACCGGCUAACUCCGU